CACGUAGUUAGCCGGUGCUUAUUCUUCAGGUACCGUCAUUAGUAAAGGAUAUUAGCCUCUACCGUUUCUUCCCUGACAAAAGAGCUUUACAACCCGAAGGCCUUCUUCACUCACGCGGCAUUGCUGGAUCAGGCUUGCGCCCAUUGUCCAAAAUUCCCCACUGCUGCCUCCCGUAGGAGUCUGGACCGUGUCUCAGUUCCAGUGUGGCUGGUCGUCCUCUCAGACCAGCUACUGAUCGUCGCCUUGGUGAGCCUUUACCUCACCAACUAGCUAAUCAGAUAUCGGCCGCUCCAGGAGCACAAGGUCCGAAGAUCCCCUGCUUUCAUCCUUAGAUCGUAUGCGGUAUUAGCGUAACUUUCGCUACGUUACUCCCCCAUCUUGGGUACGUUCCGAUAUAUUACUCACCCGUUCGCCACUCGCCGCCUACGGUUACCCCGCGCUGCCGUUCGACUUGCAUCGUGUAAAGCAGUCGCCGCCAGCGUUCAAUCUGGAGCCCGAGGACUACAAAACUU
RNAcentral lists this ribosomal RNA (512 nucleotides) under uncultured Oxalobacteraceae bacterium. RNAcentral's name for it is "partial 16S ribosomal RNA". Lineage: Bacteria; Pseudomonadati; Pseudomonadota; Betaproteobacteria; Burkholderiales; Oxalobacteraceae. The record is from RNAcentral.